UACAGAGGGGGCAAGCGUUAUUCGGAAUUAUUGGGCGUAAAGGGCGCGUAGGCGGCCAUUCAAGUGAAGGGUGAAAGCCCUCGGCUUAACCGAGGAACUGCCUGUCAGACUGGAUGGCUUGAGACCGGGAGAGGUGAGUGGAAUUCCCAGUGUAGCGGUUAAAUGCGUAGAUAUUGGGAGGAACACCAGUGGCGAAGGCGGCUCACUGGACCGGAACUGACGCUGAGGCGCGAAAGCGUGGGGAGCAAACAGG
Molecule: ribosomal RNA, 253 nt
Filed under: uncultured bacterium
Lineage: Bacteria
Description: partial 16S ribosomal RNA
Rfam family: Bacterial small subunit ribosomal RNA
Source: RNAcentral